Molecule: ribosomal RNA, 495 nt
Filed under: uncultured bacterium
Lineage: Bacteria
Description: bacterial SSU rRNA
Rfam family: Bacterial small subunit ribosomal RNA
Source: RNAcentral
AUCCUGGCUCAGGAUGAACGCUAGCGGCAGGCUUAAUACAUGCAAGUCGAGGGGCAGCACGAAUAGCAAUAUUUGGUGGCGACCGGCGCACGGGUGCGUAACACGUAUACAACCUACCUAUAACAGGGGGAUAGCCUUUCGAAAGAGAGAUUAAUACCCCGUAAUAAAUUGAGUGGCAUCACUUGAUUUUGAAAGCUACGGCGGUUAUAGAUGGGUAUGCGUCUGAUUAGCUAGUUGGUGAGGUAACGGCUCACCAAGGCGACGAUCAGUAGGGGAUCUGAGAGGACUAACCCCCACACUGGUACUGAGACACGGACCAGACUCCUACGGGAGGCAGCAGUAAGGAAUAUUGGUCAAUGGAGGCAACUCUGAACCAGCCAUGCCGCGUGCAGGAUGACGGCCCUAUGGGUUGUAAACUGCUUUUGUACCAGAGAAAACCUACUCACGUGUGAGUAGCUGAUAGUAUGGUAAGAAUAAGCGUCGGCUAACUUCGUG